Molecule: ribosomal RNA, 827 nt
Filed under: uncultured bacterium
Lineage: Bacteria
Description: bacterial SSU rRNA
Rfam family: Bacterial small subunit ribosomal RNA
Source: RNAcentral
UCGAACGGUGACGGAGAGCUUGCUCUUCUGAUCAGUGGCAAACGGGUGUGUAACACGUGAGUAACCUGCCGUUAUGUGGGGGAUACCCAUUCGAAAGGAUGGUUAAUACCGCAUAGUGCGCGGAGACCGCUUGGUUUCCGCGGGAAAGCUUAAUGCGCAUAACGAUGGACUCGCGGCCUAUCAGCUAGUUGGUGAGGUAAUGGCCCACCAAGGCAUCGACGGGUAGCCGGCCUGAGAGGGUGAUCGGCCACAUUGGGACUGAGACACGGCCCAGACUCCUACGGGGGGCAGCAGUUGGGAAUCUUGCGCAAUGGGGGAAACCCUGACGCAGCGACGCCGCGUGCGGGAUGACGGUCUUCGGAUUGUAAACCGCUUUUUCCAGGGACGAUAAUGACGGUACCUGGUGAAUAAGCCCCGGCUAACUCCGUGCCAGCAGCCGCGGUAAGACGGAGGGGGCAAGCGUUGUCCGGAAUUACUGGGCGUAAAGCGCUCGUAGGCGGUCUUGUACGGCGGUGGUAAAAGCUCCCGGCUCAACUGGGAGAGGCCCGUCGCAACGGCGAGACUUGAGGUUGGUAGAGGCAGAUGGAAUUCCUGGUGUAGCGGUGAAAUGCGUAGAGAUCAGGAGGAACACCCAUGGCGAAGGCAGUCUGCUGGGCCACACCUGACGCUGAGGAGCGAAAGCCAGGGGAGUGAACGGGAUUAGAUACCCCGGUAAUCCUGGCUGUAAACGAUGGUAACUAGAUGUCAGCGGUAUCGACCCCGCUGGUGUCGCAGCUAACGCGUUAAGUUACCCGCCUGGGGAGUACGGCCGCAAGGUUGAACUCAAA